CGGAGGAUCCAAGCGUUAUCCGGAAUCAUUGGGUUUAAAGGGUCCGUAGGCGGUCUUGUAAGUCAGUGGUGAAAGCCCAUCGCUCAACGGUGGAACGGCCAUUGAUACUGCAGGACUUGAAUUAUUGGGAAGUAACUAGAAUAUGCAGUGUAGCGGUGAAAUGCUUAGAGAUUACAUGGAAUACCAAUUGCGAAGGCAGGUUACUACCAAUUGAUUGACGCUGAUGGACGAAAGCGUGGGUAGCGAACAGGAUUAGAUACCCUGGUAGUCCACGCCGUAAACGAUGGAUACUAGCUGUUGGGAGCAAUUUCAGUGGCUAAGCGAAAGUGAUAAGUAUCCCACCUGGGGAGUACGUUCGCAAGAAUG
This 366-nucleotide ribosomal RNA is filed under the name uncultured organism. RNAcentral describes it as "bacterial SSU rRNA". It matches the Rfam family "Bacterial small subunit ribosomal RNA", at positions 526 to 896 of the family's 1533-position model. The record is from RNAcentral.